This 73-nucleotide transfer RNA is filed under the name Canis lupus familiaris (dog). It matches the Rfam family "tRNA". From Rfam's summary of the family: Transfer RNA (tRNA) molecules are approximately 80 nucleotides in length. Their secondary structure includes four short double-helical elements and three loops (D, anti-codon, and T loops). Lineage: Eukaryota; Metazoa; Chordata; Mammalia; Carnivora; Canidae. The record is from Rfam by way of RNAcentral. RNAcentral also lists the same sequence under 1 other name.
ACCUGGUUGGCUCAGUUGGAAGAGCAUGUGACUCUUGAUCUCAGAGUCGUGAAUUUGAGCCCCACAUUGAGUA